Molecule: ribosomal RNA, 253 nt
Filed under: uncultured bacterium
Lineage: Bacteria
Description: partial 16S ribosomal RNA
Rfam family: Bacterial small subunit ribosomal RNA
Source: RNAcentral
GACAGAGGAGGCAAGCGAUGGUCGGCAUCAUUGGGCUUAAAGCGCGCGUAGGCGGCCUUGUAAGUGUCUUGUGAAAUCCCACGGCUCACCCGUGGAACUGCAGGGCAAACUGCAAGACUUGAGGUCGGUAGAGGCGCCUGGAACUCUAGGUGGAGCGGUGAAAUGCGUAGAUAUCUAGGGGAACGCCGGAGGCGAAAGCGGGGCGCUGGGCCGAUUCUGACGCUGAUGCGCGAAAGCGUGGGGAGCAAACAGG